GAUGAACGCUGGCGGCGUGCCUAAUACAUGCAAGUCGAGCGAACAGACGAGGAGCUUGCUCCUCUGACGUUAGCGGCGGACGGGUGAGUAACACGUGGAUAACCUACCUAUAAGACUGGGAUAACUUCGGGAAACCGGAGCUAAUACCGGAUAAUAUAUUGAACCGCAUGGUUCAAUAGUGAAAGACGGUUUUGCUGUCACUUAUAGAUGGAUCCGCGCCGCAUUAGCUAGUUGGUAAGGUAACGGCUUACCAAGGCAACGAUGCGUAGCCGACCUGAGAGGGUGACCGGCCACACGGGAAUUGGAACCCGGUCCGGACUCCUACGGGGGGCGGCGGUGGGAAUCUUCCGCAAUGGGCGAAAGCCUGACGGAGCAACGCCGCGUGAGUGAUGAAGGUCUUCGGAUCGUAAAACUCUGUUAUUAGGGAAGAACAAAUGUGUAAGUAACUAUGCACGUCUUGACGGUACCUAAUCAGAAAGCCACGGCUAACUACGUG
RNAcentral lists this ribosomal RNA (496 nucleotides) under uncultured bacterium. Its description in RNAcentral is "partial 16S ribosomal RNA". It matches the Rfam family "Bacterial small subunit ribosomal RNA", at positions 28 to 507 of the family's 1533-position model. The record is from RNAcentral.